GAUGAACGCUAGCGGGAGGCUUAACACAUGCAAGUCGAGGGGCAGCACGAGGUAGCAAUACUUUGGUGGCGACCGGCGCACGGGUGAGUAACGCGUAUGUAACCUACCCUGUACAGGGGGAUAACCCGGAGAAAUUCGGACUAAUAUCCCAUAAAGAUAUUGGAGGGCAUCCUUUGAUAUUUAAAGCUCAGGCGGUACGGGAUGGGCAUGCGUAACAUUAGCUAGUUGGUAGGGUAACGGCCUACCAAGGCUACGAUGUUUAGGGGUCCUGAGAGGGUGAUCCCCCACACUGGUACUGAGACACGGACCAGACUCCUACGGGAGGCAGCAGUGAGGAAUAUUGGUCAAUGGGCGCAAGCCUGAACCAGCCAUCCCGCGUGCAGGAAGACGGCCCUAUGGGUUGUAAACUGCUUUUCCAGGGGUGAAACUCCCGUACGUGUACGGGACUGACGGUACCUUGGGGAUAAGGCAUCGGCUAACUCCGUG
RNAcentral lists this ribosomal RNA (486 nucleotides) under uncultured bacterium. RNAcentral's name for it is "bacterial SSU rRNA". It matches the Rfam family "Bacterial small subunit ribosomal RNA", at positions 28 to 507 of the family's 1533-position model. The record is from RNAcentral.